UACACCUGGAGAACCAUCCUUUGACAACAUUUGGCUGUAAAGAGAGAGCGGGCAGUGAUAAGUGGGAAGAACAAGACUGAGAAAAGGUGUACUAAGAUUGUGCUUGCUUUAGGAGUAGCUCGAAUUUCCCUUAUUAACUGUAUUCUCUUCUACCUGGUAUCUAUUACAGUCCCAAGUCCUUGGCCAUCUAUUUCUAUUUCAUCAACUUUUAUUAUUUUAGGGUCAUACAGUUUCCAACAUUCUGAUGUAGCCGUGUGAGUUGUUUGGAAAGGUUGCAAAAGAAUGAGAGUUAAUAAUUUUUUAUUACUGUAUCUUAAGUCUAAAUGUUUCUAAAGCAUGACUAUACAUUUGUGAUGACUGAUUUAAUGGUGAUAAAUGCAUUUAUCUCUAUACUUAAAAUAUGAAGUGGCAAUAAUUUGUGUAUUGACAUAAUAAAAUGGGGAGUGGUUGCAUAUAUUGUUUUCUUUUGUUACAGAAUCUGUUCCCAGCUAUACCACCAAAGUAUCUUUUAGCCUUCAGCUUUGAUACCAUCCGUCAGAAGACUGCAGAAUCCCCCUAUCCUGUGAAGCUGUACAUCUUCGUGUUGUAGGUCAUGUCACAGAGGAAUAUGAUUUGUGCUUAAGGACAAAGUCUAGAAACCAUGAGCAUAGUUGUUAGGAAAAAUGAUUUUCAAAUUUCAAAUUUAUGAAUACCUCUCCCUGUAGACUGGAAAAUUGAUAAAUGGGUUUAUAUAUUGAUAUUUGAAGGAUCACUUGCAUACACUUUUUUCCAAAUAAUGCACAUUUAAUGUUUUAUAAAAUGUGUUAUUUUUUAAAACUGUAACUUAAAGACCAAAUUCUGAAGUUGAUUGCAUUGUUUUUAGGAACCUAGAAAUUAAGGGGUUGUGGAAAGAGCAUUUAUAGUGUUCUAGUUAGAUGAGACUUUAUUAUUCUGUAAGAGUUUUUAAUGCAUUGUUAUUAUUUUUUUUUACUGAGAACAGUCUUUCUUGGCUUUAUACAAACUGCUAUUUUCAUAUGUCAAUGAUAUUUUGCAAGUGCAAACUGUCAGGAAAGACUUGAGGUAUAAUCUGGGCUUUGAUGGUAGGAAGAAGGGCUGGACUGUGGGCCCCUGCUUUGGGCUCAGGACACACAGUUGGUGCAUGGGUAGCCCUUGUGGAGGGCGUGUGGAGCUGGCUGGUCAUGGGGAGCCUCGCAUGGCCUGCAGGUUUGGUUGUCCUACCCUGAGUGGGCUCCUCAGAAGUCCUGGGACCCACCUCAGAGCAAGGAAUCAGAGGCAGGGCCCUCAGUGACGUCCUCUAAGGUGGCCAUUUAGGGUUAUAGGGAUGACCAGUCCAUGCUGAUGAGGGGUGCCUAGCAAGGCUUUCUUGCCAUACCACAGGACAGCUCUGCCCUGGCCAAGGCACUGGGGUGCAGAGGGAGCUCACGAGACUGUGUUUUACCUUUGCAAAGAUGCGAUUCAUUACAGGGCUUUGGACUCUUAUAUCACAUCAUAUGAUCUGGAGAAAUUGUACAGAUAUCUAUUUUUAUACCAUUAUCUUGGACUAAAAUAAGAUUGUGAGUGAGUUGAAGCUUAAACAAGUAGCUUUUGGUAACUAUGCUUAUUGUGGUGAGCAUUUUGUAAUGUAUAUAAAGGUUGAAUCACUUUGUGGUACACCUGAAACUAAUAUAAUACUGUAUGUCAACCACACUUCAAUUAAAACUAAGUAGCCUCUGUGACUAAGAAGGAAAAAAUGCAUCUAUUCAUGUAUAUUUAACAUAUGUAUUGACUCCUCUAGGGUCUAACCCAGUGCUGUCCAGUAGGCCCUUCUGCAGUGAUGCAGCUGUUCUAUAUCUGUGCUGUCCAGCGUAGGAACCGUAAGACACAUGUUUCUUGAGCACUCAAAAGACUGGUGUGGCUGAAAAACUAAAUUUUUAAUUAAAUUCACAUAUAACCAUAGGUGGCUACCAUAUUGGGCAGCACAGAUCUAGCGAGUUAGGUUUUUGAUAAGUUAAGCUGGGCUAGACACGAAGGGUGAUUUUUAUUUUCUCUUAUCUGAAGAACAAGUCCAUCCCCAGAGGGGAUACUAUUGACACCCAAAUAUUUUGUCUUGUUUGGCUUAAUGAUAAUUUCAAAUAUUUUAUCCACAACAAACAUAAAACAGGGAGAGCAUUCUAAAGCACAUGGUAAUGCUUUAGUAGGGGAUUCUUUCAAUUUAAAAGCAAACUGAGAAGUGGUGAAGCGGUAAAAAGAGUGGGAAUGCAAGAAAUCACUCUAAUGGAACUUCAAAUGAUUGUAUCUUUAUUUUUAACUCCUUAAAAAUAUAAUUAAAAUUUAUUAGUUGUACUACUUCAAUGACUGGAAUUCUGUUUCAUGCCAAGGUCUAUGUUAUAUAUAGCCAAAUGGAAAAGAUAUCUGAAAAGGGUGAUUGAGGGUUUUCACACAAAUUGACUGUCCAUACCUUACAUAAAAUUUAUUUCAAUUAAACCAGUCUUUUGUGCAAAAACCUUGCCUUGGUGUUACAUAUAAAUAAAUGAAAAAGUACUGCAUUGAUGAAUAAUUAUUUCAUGUUACAUAUCUCCAAACAAAUACAUUGUUUGAAUAUGAUGGUUGUAGAGAUACUAUUUAUUUAUAUAAAUGUAAAAAUGUAGAUUCUGAAGUACAGUAUGCAUCUUAGUGAAAAUACCAUAGAUUUUGAAAAUUUUACAUGAUGCAUGUGGACUAAUAAAUGAUUUGGAGAAGUAGUUUGCAUCAUGGAAUAUAUGUAUGAACAUUAAAGAAAUAUGAGUGAAAGAAUAAAAUAUAAUUCUUAGAAGAAAAAUGUUUUGGUCCUUAAAGCUUAUUAUUUUACUCAUUUUUCAUGUGUUGGGAGUAAAAGGGCAGAAACACUUAGGUGAACUCAUUGAGUAGUAUGUUUUAAUUGAUAGCAAGAUCCACACCAGAUUUCUUGACUCCAGCUUUCUAGAAUGACCAUUUGGCAUGUCUGCCAAACACCACAUUAGGGUCACUUAAUGAUGAGUGUGAACAGGCAGCUCUGGAAAUCAGUGUUUGUCCCUUUCUGUUCUUUCCUGCUUCAAAGCAUCUCCCUACUUCUGAAUGGGAAGGAAACUUCAAUACUUUGGGGUACUGUUUUGUGGUGUAUAUAGGUUGAAAUGCUUAUUUUAUGGUAUGGGUUUUGGAUUUAUUUCUAAAACUUAGGACCUUAAAUCUACAAUAGUGUUGAUGUAUACAUAUAUUUAAAAGAUGUUCAUACUCCUGUCCUCAGCAAAAACAUCAGCUAUUAGAUGUGACUCUAUGUAGUACUUUCGCACUUUUGGAUAACUGCCAGAAACAUACAUACCUGCUUCGGCUACCCAUGGCACAUGAAAGAGAAGGCAUGGUAAAUGGACAUUCAUAAACCCUCAGCUAAGUCCUGCCAGACUCCUCUUGGGCAAUCAGGAGGUAGGUGGAGGCAGUUUACCUUGCAGUGUGGCUUUCUAGACUUCAUGGUGCCCUCCAGAGCCACUGGCUAGGACUCUUUGUGCUCUUGGUCUCAUUAAGAUUCCUCUCUGACGCCACCCGGGACUAAGGCUGUGAUGAACAUGUUUAUUUUUCUUCCAGUUAUUAUGGAUUCCAAAUGGGGCUUCAUGUAGUUCCCUUAAAUUCUGCUGCUCUCUCAUGUCUGUGGAGGAAGGAUCAAAGCAAAAGAGAUCCACUCUCAGAAUUAAAGGGGGAGAUUUGAAAAGGUCAUUUAUUCAUUUCAGUUUAAUUGGUUCUACUGUUUUGCCAAUGUCAUGGUUUUCCUGAAAAGUGUGCUUUGUAGCUGGAGAGUCCUUUGUGACUUUUAUGAAUUGCCUUCUCUGGAUUCAUGUGCAAGAGAAGCAAAAAACACAGAGACAAGAACAUCAGACUUGGAGGCAGCGUAGAACUUCGUUCCACUAAUACCUCUCCAGAGCCUCCCAAAGGUCUCAGCAAACACUAGUCUUGGGAAUGAAUAAUAGACUGAACAUUUUGGGGAGGCAAUGUGAUUAAAACUCACCGUGAAGUUUAUUAUCUUCCAGAGAUGUUAUUUCAGUACUGCCAAGUCAGAAGUACUUGCUAUUUAUACAAACUUGAAAUAAUUGUGCAAAUAUCUCUCUUCAGCUGCCUUCUGCAGUAUGUACAAUGCCGACACCCAAGAUGUUUGUCCUGUACAGAGUAGGAUGAGCAUCGUGCAGGGAGCUGGAAGAGAUGACUGAUUCUUUAGGCUCCCUCUUCUUGUGGUUCCUCAGCUGUCAGCAUUUCUUCAGAAUUCGGAGCACCAGGUUGUUCAGGAUCCUUGAGAUGUUCUCUUCUAUGAACUCGGGAGCCUCAAACAGAGCCUGGAAGCACUUCCGACAUCUCUGGGCAAAGACCCUCAUCUUCACCCGGCCCCUGCGUUCCCUCUCACUCCAGUGCAUGUGGAAAAGGACCUGAACUUGGGCAGAGGUCCAGCUGCGAGAGCACAAGGAGCACUGGAACCUGUGGAGACAGAGGCCCCUUUGCAGUUAGUUUGAGGCAAUGUGACCAGUUCGCCAACAGGAUGUGGACAGAAGUGAAACAUGCUACUUCCAAACGUGGCACAGAAGCCCUUGGAAAACGCUCCAGCUUUCUCCACCUCACCAACCUUGGGAGUCCUGUGUUAGGUAAACCACCAAUAUUUCAGGGCUUAUUAGUUAUAGCAACCAAGUUUAGGCUUGCCUGGCUUGAUGCACGGGCCCUGAAGUCUGGGGUAGUGGACCGGGAAGAAUGAGUCAGUCAAGGCUCCCCUCCAGAAUCCGGGUCCUGGCCUCACUCCACAGGGUGGACGUGAACGUGGAGGAAAGAUGCCAAGAGGCUCGAGUACCCUGAGCGAGAUGGCCUUGCUGGAGGUCAUGCAGAGUGGGUGGUGCAACGGGGCCUGGGCCCUGUUCUGCUGGCCGACAGUUGCCUGCCCUCUCUCUGAGUCACACUGCUCUGCUGUGUGUCAACUCAGAGUUCAAAGUUCUCAUGGAAAAAAGAGCUGAGCUUUUGCUCAGGUGCUCCUGGCCCAGGAAAACCACAGAUGGCAAGGAGAGGAGAUACCUGCUUCCUCCGCCUAGAGCCCCUCCCAGAGAGGGGGCAGUGGGCGGUUGCAAGCCCCUGUUAUGGUCACCGGGUUAGAGUCCCAGGCCCCCACACUCUGUGCUGUGGACAACCCCACCCCCAUCCCUGGGAACCUGCUUUCUCACUUAGAAAAGAGAGGGUGGGACUUUGGAUGACUAGCAAGGAUUCUAUAUUUGAAAGAUUCCAUCAGCUCAGAGUAGAGAGGGCAAGCCUGCUGUGUGUUGCUCAGCUCCCCCAUCCUCUGCCCUCUCCCUGAGGGGUGUCCUCAGUGCCCAGGGCUUCUCUGUCAUGGUGGACCCAGCAUGUCCCGAGGCAGGAGCACAUGCACCAAGCCUUGUGCAUCCAGCUCUCCUGUGGCUGACGGAGAUAGCUGCCAUUUCUCCCCUCUGCUCACUGCUCCUGCCCUUACUCCUCGCAGCCUCAUUUAUCUGCAUCUAGGCCUGAGCCCACAGCAGUGCCCAUCCUGGUAUUGUUUGGGCGUUUGUUAUAAUAAGGAAAAAACACCUUUACUGAAGCUAAAACUUCUUAGAUGAUAGGAACCUCACCUCCUGUAAUCUUCAGUUUGCAAGCAUGGAAUCGAACAAUGAAAGUAACAAGUAUACACAGUAAGAAACAAGCUAGGAUUUUCUGGAAAUGUAUUCCAGAAACGUGCCUUCCCAUUCCUCCACUUACCUGGCGAAGACCCACUGCUGGUAUUGUGCCCAUUCUGGCUUCAGGACGUUGGGAAGAAGGCCUUUGUCUAGUGUCAGGGUCCAUUUGUGCCAUGGUUUUAGCUCCUGAAUUAAUUCCUGAAAUACUUGCUUCCACACCUUCAUGUCCUGACACAUCGCUGCUGCUGUGGUGCGCUACCUGCUCCCACUUUAGAGAGUAAAGCUCAGACCCGUUCUCCCUUUGUGUACCAGAUCUUUGCCCCAAGACAAAGGUCAGUUAGGUCUGGCUCCAAGGUCGGAGACCAGGGCUAGGCUGCACAGGGAAUUCCCAAAGACACGGGAUUUCAUCAAUAAAAAUACUGUCCAAGCUAUAUUAAGCUGAAAAGCUUCUGUACAGCAAAAGACACCAUCAAUAGAACAAAAAGGAACCCUACAGUAUGGGAGAAUAUAUUUGAAAAUGACAGAUCCGAUAAAGGCUUGACGU
This is a non-coding RNA of Manis javanica (Malayan pangolin), 6192 nucleotides long. NCBI's taxonomy places the organism in Eukaryota, Metazoa, Chordata, Mammalia, Pholidota, Manidae. The record is from RefSeq and is a predicted model, not a curated record.